UACGGGGGGGGCAAGCGUUGUUCGGAAUUACUGGGCGUAAAGGGCUCGUAGGUGGCCAAUUAAGUCAGACGUGAAAUCCCCAGGCUCAACCUGGGAACUGCGUCUGAUACUGGUUGGCUUGAAUUCGGGAGAGGGAUGCAGAAUUCCAGGUGUAGCGGUGAAAUGCGUAGAUAUCUGGAGGAACACCGGUGGCGAAGGCGGCAUCCUGGACCAACACUGACACUGAGGAGCGAAAGCCAGGGGAGCAAACGGG
Molecule: ribosomal RNA, 253 nt
Filed under: uncultured bacterium
Lineage: Bacteria
Description: partial 16S ribosomal RNA
Rfam family: Bacterial small subunit ribosomal RNA
Source: RNAcentral